RNAcentral lists this ribosomal RNA (471 nucleotides) under uncultured bacterium. RNAcentral's name for it is "bacterial SSU rRNA". It matches the Rfam family "Bacterial small subunit ribosomal RNA", at positions 335 to 800 of the family's 1533-position model. The record is from RNAcentral.
ACUCCUACGGGAGGCAGCAGUAGGGAAUCUUCCACAAUGGACGAAAGUCUGAUGGAGCAACGCCGCGUGAGUGAAGAAGGGUUUCGGCUCGUAAAACUCUGUUGUUAAAGAAGAACAUAUCUGAGAGUAACUGUUCAGGUAUUGACGGUAUUUAACCAGAAAGCCACGGCUAACUACGUGCCAGCAGCCGCGGUAAUACGUAGGUGGCAAGCGUUGUCCGGAUUUAUUGGGCGUAAAGCGAGCGCAGGCGGUUUUUAAGUCUGAUGUGAAAGCCUUCGGCUCAACCGAAGAAGUGCAUCGGAAACUGGGAAACUUGAGUGCAGAAGAGGACAGUGGAACUCCAUGUGUAGCGGUGAAAUGCGUAGAUAUAUGGAAGAACACCAGUGGCGAAGGCGGCUGUCUGGUCUGUAACUGACGCUGAGGCUCGAAAGUAUGGGUAGCAAACAGGAUUAGAUACCCUGGUAGGAUAGC